This 423-nucleotide ribosomal RNA is filed under the name Purpureocillium lilacinum. RNAcentral describes it as "SSU rRNA". It matches the Rfam family "Eukaryotic small subunit ribosomal RNA", at positions 69 to 497 of the family's 1831-position model. The record is from RNAcentral. Lineage: Eukaryota; Fungi; Ascomycota; Sordariomycetes; Hypocreales; Ophiocordycipitaceae.
GCAAUUAUACGGCGAAACUGCGAAUGGCUCAUUAUAUAAGUUAUCGUUUAUUUGAUAGCACCUUACUACUUGGAUAACCGUGGUAAUUCUAGAGCUAAUACAUGCUAAAAAUCCCGACUUCGGAAGGGAUGUAUUUAUUAGAUUAAAAACCAAUGCCCUCUGGGCUCUCUGGUGAUUCAUGAUAACUUCUCGAAUCGCAUGGCCUUGCGCCGGCGAUGGUUCAUUCAAAUUUCUUCCCUAUCAACUUUCGAUGUUUGGGUAGUGGCCAAACAUGGUUGCAACGGGUAACGGAGGGUUAGGGCUCGACCCCGGAGAAGGAGCCUGAGAAACGGCUACUACAUCCAAGGAAGGCAGCAGGCGCGCAAAUUACCCAAUCCCGACACGGGGAGGUAGUGACAAUAAAUACUGAUACAGGGCUCUUUU